GUUCUUCUGAAAACGGUUG
RNAcentral lists this unclassified non-coding RNA (19 nucleotides) under Dictyostelium discoideum. Lineage: Eukaryota; Evosea; Eumycetozoa; Dictyosteliales; Dictyosteliaceae. The record is from RNAcentral.